RNAcentral lists this ribosomal RNA (492 nucleotides) under uncultured bacterium. Its description in RNAcentral is "partial 16S ribosomal RNA". It matches the Rfam family "Bacterial small subunit ribosomal RNA", at positions 29 to 507 of the family's 1533-position model. The record is from RNAcentral.
AGUGAACGCUGGCGGUAGGCCUAACGCAUGCAAGUCGAACGGCAGCACAGUAAGAGCUUGCUCUUACGGGUGGCGAGUGGCGGACGGGUGAGGAAUACAUCGGAAUCUACUUUUUCGUGGGGGAUAACGUAGGGAAACUUACGCUAAUACCGCAUACGACCUACGGGUGAAAGCAGGGGAUCUUCGGACCUUGCGCGAUUGAAUGAGCCGAUGUCGGCUUAGCUAGUUGGCGGGGUAAAGGCCCACCAAGGCGACGAUCCGUAGCUGGUCUGAGAGGAUGAUUAGCCACAUUGGAACUGAGACACGGUCCAGACUCCUACGGGAGGCAGCAGUGGGGACUAUUGGACAAUGGGGGCAAGCCUGAUCCAGCCAUACCGCGUGGGUGAAGAAGGCCUUCGGGUUGUAAAGCCCUUUUGUUGGGAAAGAAAAGCAGCAGGUUAAUACCCCGCUGUUCUGACGGUACCCAAAGAAUAAGCACCGGCUAACUUCGUG